GGGCCGGUAGUCUAGUGGCUAUCUAUAAAGACCGUGCGUUUAAGACGUGGAGAUCGCAAGUUCGAUUCUUGCCCGGCCCA
Molecule: transfer RNA, 80 nt
Filed under: Candidatus Aenigmarchaeota archaeon ex4484_14
Lineage: Archaea; Nanobdellati; Candidatus Aenigmatarchaeota
Description: tRNA-Leu
Rfam family: tRNA
About the family: Transfer RNA (tRNA) molecules are approximately 80 nucleotides in length. Their secondary structure includes four short double-helical elements and three loops (D, anti-codon, and T loops).
Source: RNAcentral